RNAcentral lists this transfer RNA (65 nucleotides) under Sceloporus graciosus (sagebrush lizard). RNAcentral's name for it is "tRNA-Ser". Lineage: Eukaryota; Metazoa; Chordata; Lepidosauria; Squamata; Phrynosomatidae. The record is from RNAcentral.
AAGAGGUGUUUGUACACCAAGAACUGCUAAUUCUUACCACUGAAGUUAAAUUCCUCAGACCUCUU